CACGUAGGCACCAAGCGUUGUCCGGAUUUAUUGGGCGUAAAGAGCGUGUAGGCGGCUUGGUAGGUCCGCUGUGAAAACUCGAGGCUCAACCUCGAGAUGUCGGCGGAAACCACUUGGCUAGAGUCCGGAAGAGGAGAGUGGAAUUCCUGGUGUAGCGGUGAAAUGCGCAGAUAUCAGGAAGAACACCUAUGGCGAAGGCAGCUCUCUGGGACGGUACUGACGCUGAGACGCGAAAGCGUGGGGAGCGAACAGG
RNAcentral lists this ribosomal RNA (253 nucleotides) under uncultured bacterium. Its description in RNAcentral is "partial 16S ribosomal RNA". It matches the Rfam family "Bacterial small subunit ribosomal RNA", at positions 524 to 776 of the family's 1533-position model. The record is from RNAcentral.